CGUGCGCACGCGCCGAAUCCCGUACCGCAGUACGGGAACCGGGGAACCACCACCCUGGGGUGAAUCGCGCGAAAACCGCCGUGAACUCACGGCCGGUUUACGCGCGUAGGAGACCUUCCUGCUCCGAACCCGUCAGCUAACCCGGUAGGCGAGAAGGAAGGAAAGG
This is a regulatory RNA element of Streptomyces curacoi, 166 nucleotides long. It matches the Rfam family "c-di-AMP riboswitch aptamer (ydaO/yuaA leader)". Rfam says of the family: This family represents a conserved RNA structure found upstream of the ydaO and yuaA genes in Bacillus subtilis and related genes in other bacteria. The record is from Rfam. NCBI's taxonomy places the organism in Bacteria, Bacillati, Actinomycetota, Actinomycetes, Kitasatosporales, Streptomycetaceae.